This 949-nucleotide long non-coding RNA is filed under the name Homo sapiens (human). RNAcentral's name for it is "HSALNT0029726". The record is from RNAcentral. Lineage: Eukaryota; Metazoa; Chordata; Mammalia; Primates; Hominidae.
AAAGGUUUGGGGAGCAUGAAGAAGAUGCAGGUUUCCACAACCCCCUGAUCUUCUGCACCCCUACUGGUUUCCUCCACCCAUAGAGGAGUUGAGUAUCCGUUCGAAGCAUCAUCAAUUGAAAUCGCCCUGGAAUCACCUGUGACUAAACAAGGGAAAUGAGUAUAGACUACAAAGUGUGAUAAACUCACAGCCUUAUUGAGAGAAAAGAACAAAACAAAACAUACAGCAUCCGCUCUCAGGUGAGCUCUACAUGGGCAGAGAUCCCGUAGAGAGGUAAGUAGGCAGCUUCCACACCUUCUGCCCAAAUCACAGCAUUACAGAAAGCCAGAGUGGAAUGUUGGGCUCUGCCUGUUUCUUUACUGCAGAGCUUCUUAGAGACUUUAGUCAUCUAAUGCCCAGGGCGGCUCUUCAUGGAGGGUGUCUUAGUCCAUUUUGUGUUGCUAUAAAGAAAUAGCUGAGGCUGGGUGAUUUAUAAUGAAAAGGAGUUUAUUUGCCUCUGCAGUUCUGCAGGCUGUACAGGAAGCACGGCACUGGCAUAUGCAUCUGGUGAGGACUUCAGGCUGCUUCUACUCAUGAUGGAAAGCAAAGGGGGACAGGCACGGUGGCUCACUCCUGUAAUCCCAGCACUUUGGGAGGCCAAGGUGGGUGAAUUACUUGAGCCCAGGAAUUUGAGACCAGCCUGGGCAACAAAGUGAAACCCCGUCUGUUUAAAAAGAAAAAAAGAAAGUGAAGGGGAGCCUGUGUGUGAAGAGAACACGUGGUGAGAGAGGAAGCAGAAGAGAGAGGGGAGGUGCCAGGCUCUUUCUAAACACCAGCUCUCUUGAGAACUAACAGAGUGAGAACUCACUCACCCCUGAGGGAGGCCAUUAAUCUAUUCAGGAGGGAUCCACUGCCAUGACCCAAACACCUCCCAUUAGGUUCCACCUCCAACAUUUGGAUCAAAUUUCAC